This 376-nucleotide ribosomal RNA is filed under the name uncultured rumen bacterium. Its description in RNAcentral is "bacterial SSU rRNA". It matches the Rfam family "Bacterial small subunit ribosomal RNA", at positions 41 to 422 of the family's 1533-position model. The record is from RNAcentral.
UACAGGCCUAACACAUGCAAGUCGAACGGUAACGGCAGGAAGCUUGCUUCCUGGCUGACGAGCGGCGGACGGGUGAGUAAUACCUGGGGAGCUGCCUGAAUGAGGGGGACAACACCUGGAACGGAUGCUAAUACCGCGUAAGCCCUGAGGGGGAAAGGCUGGGCAACCAGUCGCAUUCAGAUGCGCCCAGGUGGGAUUAGCUAGUUGGUGGGGUAACGGCCUACCAAGGCGACGAUCUCUAGCUGGUCUGAGAGGAUGAUCUUUCUCACUGGAACUGAGACACGGUCCAGACUCCUACGGGAGGCAGCAGUAGGGAAUAUUGCACAAUGGGGGAAACCCUGAUGCAGCCAUGCCGCGUGUGUGAGAAGCCUUUGGG